RNAcentral lists this transfer RNA (77 nucleotides) under Candidatus Omnitrophota bacterium. Its description in RNAcentral is "tRNA-Val". It matches the Rfam family "tRNA". Rfam says of the family: Transfer RNA (tRNA) molecules are approximately 80 nucleotides in length. Lineage: Bacteria; Pseudomonadati; Candidatus Omnitrophota. The record is from RNAcentral.
GGGCGGUUAGCUCAGUUGGUUAGAGUAUCACAUUGACAUUGUGAGGGUCACUGGUUCGAGCCCAGUACCGCCCACCA